RNAcentral lists this long non-coding RNA (359 nucleotides) under Mus spretus (western wild mouse). RNAcentral's name for it is "predicted gene 29591 (ENSMSPG00010015231.1)". Lineage: Eukaryota; Metazoa; Chordata; Mammalia; Rodentia; Muridae. The record is from RNAcentral.
UUCUUCUUUUAUUUCAUUCAUUUCUCCAUGAUGUUGUUCUCCAUCAGAACUCCUUCUUGAGUUCCCAUUUAAAUAUUCUGUGUCAAAAGCUUGAAUUUCUCUAGUGAACACUUUAGCAAAGGCUAGCAUGGAUGGUUAAUGUGUCUAUUUUUUUCUUAGUCGAAUAAUAGCAAACACAUGUUGAUAGGGCUAUUAAGGAGACAUAUUUUCCAGCAGCUGUUGACUUCAUCAGUUCCACUAUGCAAUGAGUCAUUGGAACUUCUAGAGCCACACAGUUACAACUGAAGAAGUGUGGGUUUCUUUUAUUUUCUUAAAUCGCGAUGCGAGGAUUGGGGAGACUUAGACAUGAAGAAAAUGAA